CACGUAGGGUGCGAGCGUUGUCCGGAAUUAUUGGGCGUAAAGAGCUCGUAGGCGGUGUGUCGCGUCGGCCGUGAAAACCUGCAGCUUAACUGUGGGCGUGCGGUCGAUACGGGCAUCACUGGAGUUCGGCAGGGGAGACUGGAAUUCCUGGUGUAGCGGUGAAAUGCGCAGAUAUCAGGAGGAACACCGGUGGCGAAGGCGGCGAUCUGGGUCGAUACUGACGCUGAGGUGCGAAAGCGUGGGGAGCAAACAGG
Molecule: ribosomal RNA, 254 nt
Filed under: uncultured bacterium
Lineage: Bacteria
Description: partial 16S ribosomal RNA
Rfam family: Bacterial small subunit ribosomal RNA
Source: RNAcentral